AUGAAGGCACUGUUGCAGGGGCCACAGCUGCCACCAUUCCUGUCCAAGACGUACGAUCUCGAAGGCGAGCCGCAGCUGGACGGGGUCAUCUCCUGGGGUCCUUCGUCGUGUGGAAUUCUUCCACCUUCGACCGGGACGUGCUCCCGCACAACUUCAAGCACAAGAACUUCUCCAGCUUCGUCAGCCAGCCCAAUCAUCUGUUCUCAUUUUUCUUUUCUUUUACAAUCUCUCACUGGAUUACUAUUCAUGAUGCCGUCCUCUGCUGGGGAGGCACUCUGUUUCUGUUUGGUAUCUGGCACUCUGUUUCGGAUGCUCUGUUUUUCGUUUUGUUCCUUCUGGUUUCUGCUGAUGUACUCAACCCAAAUCUGUUGUGUGUGUGUGUGUGUGUAUAUAUAUAUAUACUCUUUGUACUUCCCUUCUUAA
Molecule: ribosomal RNA, 423 nt
Filed under: Triticum aestivum (bread wheat)
Lineage: Eukaryota; Viridiplantae; Streptophyta; Magnoliopsida; Poales; Poaceae
Description: partial small subunit ribosomal RNA
Source: RNAcentral